This 73-nucleotide transfer RNA is filed under the name Candidatus Koribacter versatilis Ellin345. It matches the Rfam family "tRNA". From Rfam's summary of the family: Transfer RNA (tRNA) molecules are approximately 80 nucleotides in length. Lineage: Bacteria; Pseudomonadati; Acidobacteriota; Terriglobia; Terriglobales; Candidatus Korobacteraceae. The record is from Rfam by way of RNAcentral. RNAcentral also lists the same sequence under 1 other name.
GGGCCUGUAGCUCAACGGUUAGAGCAGCGGACUCAUAAUCCGUUGGUUGUAGGUUCAAAUCCUACCGGGCCCA